UGGCUACAAAAUACAAAACAUAAGGGCCACUUCUUUCACUAUGCUACUGGAUUCAUUAGAGUACGGAAAUAGUCAUACACUCAGACUUGUGGAUCCACGGAAUCCUCAUAGACUUUAAAGAGUAGCUCUGCCUGUGGUUCCUCAUUUUUUUCCUCAUAUAGGGGAGGGGCGUGGAAAGAGUGAGUUCCAUAUUCUCAGUAAGAAAAACAAUAUUAAAUUAACAUCGUAAGAUUUCAAC
This 238-nucleotide long non-coding RNA is filed under the name Carica papaya (papaya). Its description in RNAcentral is "long non-coding RNA (CPAP_LNC009275)". Lineage: Eukaryota; Viridiplantae; Streptophyta; Magnoliopsida; Brassicales; Caricaceae. The record is from RNAcentral.